UUUGAGGAGCAUCCUCUUCUGCAACCAAUACGUGCUAUGCGGUUACUCAUCUCCUUCGAGGAUCUCAUCGAUAUUGAAGGGAUGCUCGGAUGCAUGAAAUGUCCGAAUUUUCAGUACAAUUGUCCAAAGGAUUGAAUGCUGGUCAUGCUUUGUUGGCAUUUUGUGAUGUCUUUCUGAUUUCUGG
This is a long non-coding RNA of Corticium candelabrum, 184 nucleotides long. RefSeq lists it as uncharacterized. The transcript has 3 exons. The record is from RefSeq and is a predicted model, not a curated record. Lineage: Eukaryota; Metazoa; Porifera; Homoscleromorpha; Homosclerophorida; Plakinidae.